RNAcentral lists this ribosomal RNA (446 nucleotides) under uncultured bacterium. RNAcentral describes it as "partial 16S ribosomal RNA". It matches the Rfam family "Bacterial small subunit ribosomal RNA", at positions 354 to 796 of the family's 1533-position model. The record is from RNAcentral.
GUGAGGAAUAUUGGUCAAUGGGCGCAAGCCUGAACCAGCCAUCCCGCGUGCAGGAAGACGGCGCUAUGCGUUGUAAACUGCUUUUCCAGGGAGAGAAACUUGCGCACGUGUUGCGCAAUUGACGGUACCCUGGGAAUAAGCAUCGGCUAACUCCGUGCCAGCAGCCGCGGUAAUACGGAGGAUGCGAGCGUUAUCCGGAUUCAUUGGGUUUAAAGGGUGCGUAGGCGGACUAUUAAGUCAGUGGUGAAAUCAUGCAGCUUAACUGCAGAACUGCCAUUGAUACUGAUAGCCUUGAGUUUGGUUAAGGUAGGCGGAAUGUGUAAUGUAGCGGUGAAAUGCUUAGAUAUUACACAGAACACCAAUUGCGUAGGCAGCUUACUGAGCCGACACUGACGCUGAGGCACGAAAGCGUGGGGAUCGAACAGGAUUAGAUACCCCGGUAGUCC